RNAcentral lists this ribosomal RNA (254 nucleotides) under uncultured organism. RNAcentral describes it as "partial 16S ribosomal RNA". It matches the Rfam family "Archaeal small subunit ribosomal RNA", at positions 474 to 727 of the family's 1478-position model. The record is from RNAcentral.
UACCGGCAGCACAAGUGGUGUCCACGAUUAUUGGGCUUAAAGAGCCCGUAGCUGGCCGAUGCCGUCUCACGUGAAAUAUUGGUGCUCAACAUCAAUGCGUGCGUGGGAUACCCAUCGGCUUGGGAACGGGUGGGGUCAGGGGUACUUAUGGGGGAGGGGUUAAAUCCUGUAAUCCUAUAAGGACCAACGGUGGCGAAGGCGCCUGACUAGAACGUAUCCGACAGUGAGGGGCGAAGGCUAGGAGAACGAAUCGG